CACCAAGAAAUUAAGUCAUAUUUAUAUGGUAAAAAGACAAUUAAGCAAUACAUUAGUUUUUUAAUCAUUUUUCAAGAAGUAAAAUUUAAAUAUAAAUAUAUAAUCUAAUGACAGCUUUACUGUUGAAUUUGUGAUAGCUUUGAGGGAAACUGGGAUUGGAUACCCCAUUAUUCUUAGUUGUAAACUUAAUUAAAUAUUUACCUGAGUACUAUGAAUACAAAAAUUUAAAACUCAAAGGGCUUGGCGGUGUUUUAGACCACUCAGGGGAACCUGUCUCAUAAUCGAUAAUCCACGUUAAACCUGACCUUUUUUUGCAAUCAGUUUGUAUACCGUCGUCGUCAGGUAACUUUUAAAAAAUCAAAAGUUAGCUAGAAAAUUCUUAAAUUAAAACGUCAGAUCUGGGUGCAGCUUAUAAAAAGGCGAAGAUGGGUUACAAUUAUUAUAUCAUAAUUACGGAAAAUUAUAUAAAUAUAUAAUUUGAAGGAGGACUUGAAAGUAAUUUAAAUUACAUAAAAAAUUUGAAUAAGGCUCUGAAACGUGC
This 541-nucleotide ribosomal RNA is filed under the name Zemacies excelsa. RNAcentral describes it as "partial 12S ribosomal RNA". The record is from RNAcentral. Lineage: Eukaryota; Metazoa; Mollusca; Gastropoda; Neogastropoda; Conidae.